Molecule: ribosomal RNA, 253 nt
Filed under: uncultured bacterium
Lineage: Bacteria
Description: partial 16S ribosomal RNA
Rfam family: Bacterial small subunit ribosomal RNA
Source: RNAcentral
UACGUAGGGACCGAGCGUUGUCCGGAAUCAUUGGGCGUAAAGAGCGUGUAGGCGGCCACUUAAGUCCUGCGUGAAAUCUUGCGGCUCAACCGCAAGCGGUCGUGGGAAACUGGGUGGCUAGAGUGCGGGAGAGGAGAGUGGAAUUCCUGGUGUAGCGGUGGAAUGCGCAGAUAUCAGGAAGAACACCGGUGGCGAAGGCGGCGAGCUGGUCCAUUACUGACGCUGAGGCGCGACAGCGUGGGGAGCAAACAGG